CCUCCUCCCACCUCAGUCGCCGCCGCCGCCUCCUCCUCCUCCUCCCACCUUAGUCGCCUCCUAGGAGAGCUCGACACGAUGGGGUGGCCGUGGAGCGCGCCCCGUCCGGAGAGACAAGGCGGCUCCCGAGCAGGGCAUCCGACAGCGCUGGCUUCUCCUCCCCUGCGCCACCGCUGCCCACCCCUCCUCAUCUCGUGCGGGCACGGAGGUGAGCUUCUCCGACGGCGGCGGCGACCUGCAGUCAAAGGGUGAUUGCGACGGCGCUCGAUUUGAUCUACAGGAGAGAGAGAGAGAAGAUGAGAGGGAGAGAGAGACGGAAGGAGAGGAGGUAGAAAUAGAGAGGAAAGAGGAGAGGGAUGUGCGGCGGCCGACGGGAGAGGGUCACCGAAAGGAACAACUGGUCAUCGUUCACACCGCGUUGGGCCAGAGAUGGCUCUGUACAGCCCACACGUCUGCAGAGUACACAAGUGGUUGCCCUUGAAGUCUCCUCCUUGCCCCGCUUAUUCAUUAAGUUUGCAGAUAAAGGAUGUGAUUCCAGCAAGACAGUGACGAUGGCGAUGACAAGUGAGAUUUAUGUUAAGGAGUAUUAGCAUAUGCUCAUAGGAUCACUAGAAGCAUAUAAAGGUAUCCACAAUGAUGGUUGCUUUCUUAUCGACAAAGAAUUGAAUUAUAAUUAUAGACGGUAAGAGUAGUACCUUUAUAAUCAUAGCUGUAUGCAAUGAUCCAUCAUGUAUUUCUGUUUAAAACCGCAACCCGUAAUUGUUUGAUGUC
Long non-coding RNA from Triticum dicoccoides, 771 nucleotides. RefSeq lists it as uncharacterized. The record is from RefSeq and is a predicted model, not a curated record. Lineage: Eukaryota; Viridiplantae; Streptophyta; Magnoliopsida; Poales; Poaceae. The transcript is spliced from 3 exons.